GUGGGGAAUAUUGGACAAUGGGCGCAAGCCUGAUCCAGCCAUGCCGCGUGAGUGAUGAAGGUCUUAGGAUUGUAAAGCUCUUUCACCGGUGAAGAUAAUGACGGUAACCGGAGAAGAAGCCCCGGCUAACUUCGUGCCAGCAGCCGCGGUAAUACGAAGGGGGCUAGCGUUGUUCGGAAUUACUGGGCGUAAAGCGCACGUAGGCGGAUAUUUAAGUCAGGGGUGAAAUCCCAGAGCUCAACUCUGGAACUGCCUUUGAUACUGGGUAUCUUGAGUAUGGAAGAGGUGAGUGGAAUUCCGAGUGUAGAGGUGAAAUUCGUAGAUAUUCGGAGGAACACCAGUGGCGAAGGCGGCUCACUGGUCCAUUACUGACGCUGAGGUGCGAAAGCGUGGGGAGCAAACAGGAUUAGAUACCCCGGUAGUCC
RNAcentral lists this ribosomal RNA (425 nucleotides) under uncultured bacterium. RNAcentral describes it as "partial 16S ribosomal RNA". It matches the Rfam family "Bacterial small subunit ribosomal RNA", at positions 354 to 796 of the family's 1533-position model. The record is from RNAcentral.